CAUAUCCUCUUUAAUAAGCAGCUCCUUUAAAAUACACUUGGCAAGUAUAAAAGCAGUAAUAGAUCCAUAUGCUUCCAACCAUUUGAAUAAAUAAUGUUUAUUAAGUAAGAUAACUUGAUAAGGAUAGGAAAUUCCUGCAGGAGUAAAACACAAUUGUCAAAAAUAUAGUGUAAAUAUAGCUAAAGUAUGCUCAGCUGUAGUGAGUAAUAUAGAACAAUGAACAGCAGAAGAAAGUCUUGUGGCAACAUCGCAUGAUAGUUUUAAUGUUUUGUAGCCUUAAAAUAUACUUUAUUUUGUACUGUAUUUUUUUACUGCAUGUAUACCAUUAGAUAUUAGCCUAAAUGUAACUUAUUAGGCUAUAAUACAAUUACCGCUUCUGCAUAUAGUAUUUACUGUUGGGUAAUUUUGUUAUAAAAUGGUUAAACCUUAACAUUUGCAAAAACUUUAGUGCUGGUAAAACUGUCUCAUAAGUGACUACAUUUGGGCCGUUUUCUGAAUGUAUCCAAGUUUUGUCUUGACUAAAAAGUGCAGCAAGCCACGCUUCUCACUCAAUAUAUGCUCGGAAGUAGCAUAGACCUAUAUGAAGUCAAAGAUAUCUUAGAUCCAUGUAAAGCUAAAAUGCUUUAACCCCUUAAAGGGUUACUCCACGCCUAGACAUCUUAUCCCCUAUCCAAAGGAAAAGGGGAUAAGAUAUCUGAUCGCUGGGGUCCCCCGCGAUCUCGGCUGCAGAGACUUGCAUUGAGGGUGCGUGGCCGUGCCGUCAUGAGCGGGCACGGCUGUGACGUCACGAGCCUCCAGAGCUGCACCUGACGCUAUAAAUGAAUGCCAGGUGCAGCAGGGAGAUUCUUUGAAUAGGGGAUAAGAUGUCUAUGGGCUGAGUACCCCUUUAAGGAAACGUGCUGUAAAUGUACGGCAGUGCAGGCUGACACUUGUACAUUUAUGGUGUUGCUAAGAAGUGAGCACAGGAGCUGUGCUCUCUUUAUAGCAGGUGAGUACCGGCUGCUAUCAGCAGCUGGGUACUCACCACUAAUGGUGGACAUUGGUGAUAAUGCCGUUAUUUGCCAUUAGCCCUUUAAAAGCCGUGAUCAACCUGUCCUAUCAGCUCAUAGGGGGAGAUUUUUCAAAACCUAUACAGGGGAAGAGUGGCAACCAAUCAGAUUACUACUUUCAUUUUUAAAAAGACCUGUGAAAAAUGAAAAGCAAUCUGAUUGGUUGCCAUGGACAGCUGCCCCACUCUUCCUCUAUACAGGUUUUGAUAAAUCUCCCCCAUAGUGUAGAUUUUCCCCCUCCAUAUUGCUUUGCUGCUGAGGGAAAGGAAAAACAGCGUUUCUGUGUAAGUAUUAAUAAUAAAUCUGUAGGUUUUGACAGAAACCUGUGGAUAGACACACUUUGUUGGGUUAAAAAUGCAAUUUGUGGGGUUGACUGGGUUUCUACUUGUCGCAAUUUGCUAAAAUGUUGGCGCUUGAAAAUGGGUUGCGAAAAUUUUGUUGUAAAAGCCAACUUUGGGCUAUUUGUAAUUUAAUGCAGGUACUGUAAGUACUAGAGUGUUCAUCUUAAAACCCGCAUAGAUAUUAUUAGAUACCAUAUUGUAUGAUUAGAUUGAAUGAUAUAAAAAGAGCUAACUGCAGUCUUAGUGAGUAUUAACAUUUUACUUAGAAAUUACACCAAUAAACUUGUCUUAUAAAAUAUACAUGUUCAAAAAUACCAUAGUGUUGUCUUUACAUUAUUUAGUACGUCCAAAUUCUCUCAUUUUUUACAGAGUAGGUACAUUUAGGAAAAAUAUAUUAAAAAAAACAAAAAACACAAUAUCCUUUAGUGUUUUCAGCAAACAUACAACCAGAAAUUGUUAUAGUUACUGUACAAUAUUUGUAUCAUCUAAAGUAAGAAUAAUGGUUAUGUAAGGUAAACUUUACAUUACAUUAUUUAUUUGAAUACAAGGUAUGAAUAUAGUUUUGUGUCACUCACUGAACCUACCAACAUUUGCCCCACUAUAGUAUAGUGUAUAUAAAUAAAUUAUACAUUUUUAUAUAAUUAUAUGACUUCUGACAAUAGUCUUGGCUGCUAUGGUUUACUUUCCCUAAAGGGGUACUCCAGCAUUUGAUAACCUAAAACCUUUCUACAGGAUAGGGGAUAAAUGUAUGAUUGUGGGGGGGUCCCUGUAGUCGAAACCCCCCACGAUCUCCAGAACAGCACCUGAAUGUCCCUGUGCAGGGUGCGAGGGGUUGACAUGCCCACUCUGAACAUUCUCUAUGGGAGCACUAGAGGUACACAAGCACUGUACUCGUGUAUCUCCAGCACUCUCAUAGAGAAUGCAUAAAGGGGACAUGUUCUGGAGAUCAGUGGGGUCCCAGUGGUUGGACCGCCCCUCGAUCAAAAACUUAUCCCCUAUUCGGUGAAUAGAGGAUAAGUUAUCAAACGCUGGAGUACCUCUUUAAGAAACAGUGCUAUAUGUCAGAAUUUAUACAUACUGUAUAUUUAUUUUCCCAGGAAUACAAUAACAUUGUGAUGAGUAGACGAAGACCUGAAUUUGAGGCUUAGAAUCUCAUUGGGGCAUCAUGUUAGGUACGCUUUAAGUAUUGCAAGAUAGGGACUCCAUUUAACUCCCAUUUUGGUGAUAAUCUGUGACACGGCACUCUGAGAAGCAUAUCUAGGAACUUGACAGGCAGACCCACCAGAUGAGAACUACAAAGACGAGUGGACUUUCAACCGAUGAUUAAGGGUCCAGUUUGAUCCGAAACACGUUGGAUAUUGUUCCUGUGUACUUCCAUGUGAUCCAUAAUAAAGAGUUCUUGUUUUAUUUUUCAUACUGAGCUGGACAUCUCUUCUUGUUGUGCUACUCUACUGGGCCUGGAAGCACUGCCGGCCAGUCUGUGCGCAAGUGAAUGGAUUUAGCAGUGGAGAGCUGUCGGCACCUUUCCUUCUCAGAUAUAGUACUUAAGGUAAUGUCUAUCACCCUCAAGGCUGAGGUAAUGAGGAGAGUCAGAUGCUAUCUUCAAGGAGUGCCAACCUGGUAUCCAGUUUAAGAAACCGGCUGGAUAUGUGCAUACAAAGAGAAACACAAGUACUAUACUGGCACUGCUCAAAGGAAUUCUUCCAUCAACUUCAGAAUGUAUCUUCAGUCAAGUUUAUUGACAAAUAAGGUUAUAGACAAAAUUAUUACGCAUCUUGGGGGAGUAAUCUUCCUUCAUCAGAGUGCAUACACUUCACAGCAAACAGAGAGCAUAUGAAUAUACAGAAAAGGUACCAAUUCAACCCAAUGGAAGGGUGGAACAUGCCAGUAAAAUGAAUGAUUAUACAUGUAAGAAAAAAUCCAAUAAACCUUAUAGGGUAAGCAAAGGUAUAUAUGCAGUAUGCACUAGCAGAAAUGAUAUGAAUAAAAUACCAUACAGUCAAGUGUAUAAAAUCUUAUAAUGAGGUUUGAAUGGUAAACAAGUAAAUAAAAAUCACAAGAUAGUUGACAUGGGUAAUUGGGCCUGGAGCACAUUCACAGGGUCAAAGUUCAGUCAGUGGAUGGCAUUAUUGUAACCAUGGAAUUGCAGUCAGAGAGAGCAGUGGUAAUAUUAGCAUACUCAGCCAAUGAGAGUAUCAAAAGAUGAAAACGCUAAACAAUAGAUAAAUUACCAUAUCAGGUGUCAUCUCUGAUCACAUGGUGGAAACUAUCCAAU
This is a long non-coding RNA of Hyla sarda, 3665 nucleotides long. RefSeq lists it as uncharacterized. The record is from RefSeq and is a predicted model, not a curated record. The transcript has 3 exons. NCBI's taxonomy places the organism in Eukaryota, Metazoa, Chordata, Amphibia, Anura, Hylidae.